AAAAGAAACCAACCGGGAUUGCCUCAGUAACGGCGAGUGAAGCGGCAAGAGCUCAAAUUUGAAAGCUGGCUCCUUCGGGGUCCGCAUUGUAAUUUGCAGAGGAUGCUUCGGGUGCAGCCCCCGUCUAAGUGCCCUGGAACGGGCCGUCAUAGAGGGUGAGAAUCCCGUAUGGGGCGGGGUGUCUGCGUCCGUGUGAAGCUCCUUCGACGAGUCGAGUUGUUUGGGAAUGCAGCUCUAAAUGGGUGGUAAAUUUCAUCUAAAGCUAAAUACUGGCCGGAGACCGAUAGCGCACAAGUAGAGUGAUCGAAAGAUGAAAAGCACUUUGAAAAGAGAGUUAAACAGCACGUGAAAUUGUUGAAAGGGAAGCGCUUGCAACCAGACUCGCUCGCGGGGUUCAGCCGGGCUUCGGCCCGGUGUACUUCCCCGCGGGCGGGCCAGCGUCGGUUUGGGCGGCCGGUCAAAGGCCUCCGGAAUGUAGCGCCCUUCGGGGCGCCUUAUAGCCGGGGGUGCAAUGCGGCCAGCCUGGACCGAGGAACGCGCUUCGGCACGGACGCUGGCAUAAUGGUUGUAAACGACCCGUCU
This 582-nucleotide ribosomal RNA is filed under the name Aspergillus terreus. RNAcentral describes it as "partial large subunit ribosomal RNA". It matches the Rfam family "Eukaryotic large subunit ribosomal RNA", at positions 57 to 654 of the family's 3401-position model. The record is from RNAcentral. Lineage: Eukaryota; Fungi; Ascomycota; Eurotiomycetes; Eurotiales; Aspergillaceae.